GCAUUAUCUUUCUUUGACAUGUUGUUUCACUUAUUUUAGCUGUCCUUAUUUAGUCUACAUGCUAUAAUUAUUCGUGUAUCCAACUUCUAUUAGUGAUUGGACUUGCUUUUUGGUGGUUCUAUUACUUCUUAUGUUUGAUUAACUGUUAGUUUGAAUCACUUUUCUUUUCUAGAUAUUUUUAAUCUAUUGAAUGCAGGCAUAUUGCAUAUAAUUGUAUUUAAAACGGCACUGGAACUUGUUCGACCAAAAGAUGUAGAUUGUGAACUUUUUGAAAUUACUUAUAAGAAAACUGGACAAACCAACGUCUAAACAUAUUUUGGUCUGCUGACAGAGUUAACUGAGUUACAUGAACCCAUGCUUGCAAGGAAUCCCAAAAACAAAGAGAGCCUAGCACGAAGAGAAAUUUGUCGAUGUUAUGAUUCACCC
This is a long non-coding RNA of Asparagus officinalis (garden asparagus), 426 nucleotides long. RefSeq lists it as uncharacterized. NCBI's taxonomy places the organism in Eukaryota, Viridiplantae, Streptophyta, Magnoliopsida, Asparagales, Asparagaceae. The record is from RefSeq and is a predicted model, not a curated record. The transcript has 3 exons.